GGGUGUGGCCGCAUGGCGUGCUGUGGUGCAGGUGGCCGAAGGGGGCGUUACUGUUGCGACUGGCAUCCGCAUCCGGCAGAUGUAGAUGGAACCAAAGUCCAGAAGUUACGCGUCACCCUUGCUCUACAGCCAAACAUGCAGGACUCUAGUAACCCGCGAAAUGAUGGGAUAGCGUUGCAAAUCCUUAAAAGAGUCUUAACGAAAUCCUGGCUGACAUUGACUUCUCCACUGCAACCAUCGAGUUCAUUGUCUCCUAAACCUUGCCAUGGAGGCCUGUGGCACCUGAGCCAGCCAUUAUCAUCACCAGCACUUCCAUGAGCUACAAGCUGGACCCACUGCAGUCCUCCUGACACACUGAAAUCAGAGCCUGCACACAGAGCAGCAGAUGCUUCAAUGUAAAGGUCAUUUCCAGCUAUGUGUUCCAAGAUUACUGAAGCAGGAUUCUGGCCUUCCUGAUAAGAACAUGACCAGAUCCAGCUGGUUUGCAACAAGAUGAACUUCAGUGCUGAGCUUUCACCAAGUUUUUCUCACUACAAUCUCAUUGUAAUACUAAAAUCUCCACCCAAGAUGGAGGUUAUCUGCCAUUUUCUGUACAUGUGUUACCAGAAAGGGGUCCUGAUCCAGACCCCAAAAGAGGGUUCUUGGAUCUCACGCAACAAAGAGUUCGGGGCGAGUCCAUAGAGUAAAGUGAAAGCAAGUUCAUCAAGAAAGCAAAGGAAUAAAGAAUGCCUACUCCAUAGGCAGAGCAGUGGCUUUGGCUGCUCAGCUGCUUGUACUUGUUACUUCUUGAGUAUAUGCUAAACAAGGGAUUGAUUACUCCUUGUUUAGCAGUUUUCUGGGAAAGGAGUGGGCAAUUCCCAGAACUGAGGGUUCCUCCCCUUUUUAGACCAUAUAGGGUGACUUCCUGAUGUUGCCAUGGCAUUUGUAAACUGUCAUGGCGCUAGUGGGAGUGUCUUUUAGCAUGCUAAUGCAUGAGCAGUGAGGAUGACCCGAGGUCAUUUUUGUUACCAUCUUGGUUUUGGUGGGUUUUGGCUGGUUUUGGCCGGCUUCUUUACCACUUCUUUUUAUCAGCAAGGUCUUUGUGACCUGUACUUAGUGCCGACUUCCUGUCUCAUCCUGUGAGUAAGAAUGCCUAAUCUCUCAGGAAUGCAGCCCAGUAGGUCUCAACCUUAUUUUACCCAGCCCCCAUUCAAGAUGGAGUGACUCUGGUUCAAAUGCCUCUGACACAUGUGCCUCAUGUUUGGGCAUGAGACCUCACUGUGUAGGUGCAGAGAAGACCCUGCCUAAACAUUGCCUACACGUUGCUCCUUUUUCCUGCCUCAACUUCCUUAAAAUGACAAGAGCAGAGCCCUUUUGGGAGCUAACAUCAGGACUCCUUUUCUGUACUCUGCUCCGUUGUGCUGCUAGAGCCACAAGCCUAUUAAACUUUGCCUGAAA
Molecule: long non-coding RNA, 1437 nt
Filed under: Homo sapiens (human)
Lineage: Eukaryota; Metazoa; Chordata; Mammalia; Primates; Hominidae
Description: HSALNT0320035
Source: RNAcentral